GAAAUGCGAUAAGUAGUGUGAAUUGCAGAAUUCAGUGAAUCAUCGAAUCUUUGAACGCACAUUGCGCCCCUUGGUAUUCCAUGGGGCAUGCCUGUUCGAGCGUCAUUUGUACCCUCAAGCUCUGCUUGGUGUUGGGUGUUUGUCCCGUCUCCGCGCGUGGACUCGCCCCAAAGUGAUCGGCAGCCGGCGUACUGGUCCCGGAGCGCAGCACAUGUCGCGCAAACGAGUGCCUUGGUACGGCGGCGUCCAUAAGCCCCUCUCUCACGCUCUUGACCUCGGAUCAGGUAGGGAUACCCGCUGAACUUAAGC
RNAcentral lists this unclassified non-coding RNA (309 nucleotides) under plant metagenome. RNAcentral describes it as "partial contains 5.8S ribosomal RNA, internal transcribed spacer 2, and large subunit ribosomal RNA". The stretch from base 1 to 105 matches the Rfam family "5.8S ribosomal RNA", at positions 50 to 154 of the family's 154-position model. The record is from RNAcentral.